AGUCGACGAUGAAUCUUCUAGCUUGCUAGAAGUGGAUUAGUGGCGCACGGGUGAGUAAUGCAUAGGUUAUGUGCCCUUUAGUCUGGGAUAGCCACUGGAAACGGUGAUUAAUACUGGAUACUCCCUACGGGGGAAAGUUUUUCGCUAAAGGAUCAGCCUAUGUCCUAUCAGCUUGUUGGUGAGGUAAUGGCUCACCAAGGCUAUGACGGGUAUCCGGCCUGAGAGGGUGAUCGGACACACUGGAACUGAGACACGGUCCAGACUCCUACGGGAGGCAGCAGUAGGGAAUAUUGCUCAAUGGGGGAAACCCUGAAGCAGCAACGCCGCGUGGAGGAUGAAGGUUUUAGGAUUGUAAACUCCUUUUGUUAGAGAAGAUUAUGACGGUAUCUAACGAAUAAGCACCGGCUAACUCCGUGCCAGCAGCCGCGGUAAUACGGAGGGUGCAAGCGUUACUCGGAAUCACUGGGCGUAAAGAGUGCGUAGGCGGGGUAAUAAGUCAGAUGUGAAAUCCUGUAGCUUAACUACAGAACUGCAUUUGAAACUGUUACUCUGGAGUGUGGGAGAGGUAGGUGGAAUUCUUGGUGUAGGGGUAAAAUCCGUAGAGAUCAAGAGGAAUACUCAUUGCGAAGGCGACCUGCUGGAACAUUACUGACGCUGAUGCACGAAAGCGUGGGGAGCAAACAGGAUUAGAUACCCUGGUAGUCCACGCCCUAAACGAUGGAUGCUAGUUGUUGCCUUGCUUGUCAGGGCAGUAAUGCAGCUAACGCAUUAAGCAUCCCGCCUGGGGAGUACGGUCGCAAGAUUAAAACUCAAAGGAAUAGACGGGGACCCGCACAAGCGGUGGAGCAUGUGGUUUAA
This 858-nucleotide ribosomal RNA is filed under the name uncultured bacterium. RNAcentral's name for it is "bacterial SSU rRNA". It matches the Rfam family "Bacterial small subunit ribosomal RNA", at positions 60 to 949 of the family's 1533-position model. The record is from RNAcentral.